This is an RNA transcript of Nycticebus coucang (slow loris), 771 nucleotides long. It is a transcript of the gene named 60S ribosomal protein L29-like, with no coding region annotated. The transcript has a single exon. Lineage: Eukaryota; Metazoa; Chordata; Mammalia; Primates; Lorisidae. The record is from RefSeq and is a predicted model, not a curated record.
UUCACUGGAGUAGCACUUUUAAUUUUUUUUGCAAGAACUUUUCCUUUGCAUUCACAACCUGACUUUUGGGCAUAAGAGGCCUGGCUUUUAGUCCAUCUCACCUUUCAACAUGCACUCAUAAGUGAACAUCAUUCCAGCUCUUGAUUUAAAGUAAGAGACCGGCGUCAUGGGUUGCAGUGCAGACAUGGCCAAGUCCAAGAACCACACCACACACAACCAGUCUCGAAAGUGGCACAGAAAUGACAUCAAGAAACCCCGAUCACAAAGAUAUGAAUCUCUUAAGGGGGUAGAUCCCAAGUUCCUGAGGAACAUGCACUUUGCCAAGAAGUACAACAAGAAGGGCCUGAAGGUGAUGUAGGCCAACAAUGCCAAGGCCGUGAGUGCACGUGCUGAAGCUAUAAAGGCCCUUAUAAAGCCCAAGGAGGUUAAGACCAAGAUUCCAAAGGGUGCCAGCCGUAAACUCAGUCGACUUGCCUACAUCGCCCACCCCAAGCUUGGGAAGCGUGCUCGUGCACGCAUUGCCAAGGGUCUCAGGCUCUGCAGGCCAAAGGCCAAGGCCAAGGAUCAGACAAAGGCCCAAUCUGCUGCUUCAUCUGCAGCUCCAGCUUCAGUUCCAGCUCAGGCUCCCAAAGGUGCCCAGGCCCCCACAAAGGCUCCAGAGUAGAGGCAUCUGUCUGCCAUGAGGACAAAAGGACUGGUGUGACCUCUAGGCUGCUGUCUGUAUGGGGCUGGGGUCCUCCUGUGCUAUUUGUACAAAUAAACUUGAGGCAG